GGGUGUAAGAGCAAUGUGGCUGUGAAAGCAGUCACCCCAGGACUGAUCCGGGGACUCUAGAUGGCUAGGUGGGUGCUGCCUUCCUCACCACUCUGCUUCUUCCUAAGCCGCAGUCUUGCUCCUUUGAAGAGCAUGGCCUCCCCCGUUGAGGAGGGCCAUUCCUCAGGUGCAUGAGUUGUCCAAUCACUCCUCCCCAUGCUCACAGCUCCAAACAAGCUUUCACGUUGCAUUGGAAGAGAAUGUAAGCUUCUAUGACUCCAGGAAUAUCUGAAUGAUGUGCUGCUAAUGGCAGUCAACCUUUCUUU
RNAcentral lists this small nuclear RNA (305 nucleotides) under Jaculus jaculus (lesser Egyptian jerboa). RNAcentral's name for it is "7SK RNA (ENSJJAG00000006908.1)". It matches the Rfam family "7SK RNA". From Rfam's summary of the family: 7SK was discovered as an abundant small nuclear RNA in the mid-70s but a possible function has only recently been suggested. Two independent studies have found that 7SK RNA binds the CDK9/cyclin T complex (known as elongation factor P-TEFb). P-TEFb activates transcription by phosphorylating the C-terminal domain of RNA polymerase II. The record is from Rfam by way of RNAcentral. Lineage: Eukaryota; Metazoa; Chordata; Mammalia; Rodentia; Dipodidae.